This 429-nucleotide ribosomal RNA is filed under the name Bacteroidota bacterium. Its description in RNAcentral is "Bacteroidetes bacterium partial 16S ribosomal RNA". It matches the Rfam family "Bacterial small subunit ribosomal RNA", at positions 355 to 776 of the family's 1533-position model. The record is from RNAcentral. Lineage: Bacteria; Pseudomonadati; Bacteroidota.
UAGGGAAUCUUCCGCAAUGGACGCAAGUCUGACGGAGCAACGCCGCGUGAGUGAAGAAGGAUUUCGGUUCGUAAAACUCUGUUGUUAGAGAAGAACAGCGCAUAGAGUAACUGUUAUGCGUGUGACGGUAUCUAACCAGAAAGCCACGGCUAACUACGUGCCAGCAGCCGCGGUAAUACGUAGGUGGCAAGCGUUGUCCGGAUUUAUUGGGCGUAAAGCGAGCGCAGGCGGUCAAUUAAGUCUGAUGUGAAAGCCCCCGGCUCAACCGGGGAGGGUCAUUGGAAACUGGUUGACUUGAUUGCAGAAGAGGGGAGUGGAAUUCCAUGUGUGGCGGUGAAAUGCGUAGAUAUAUGGAGGAACACCAGUGGCGAAGGCGACUCUCUGGUCUGUAACUGACGCUGAGGCUCGAAAGCGUGGGUAGCAAACAGG